UUUUAGGUGCUUGCACUUGAAAGAUUUAACAUUGAGACGAGUGGCGAACUGGUGAGUAACACGUGGGUAACCUGCCCUUGAAGUAGGGGAUAACACUUGGAAACAGGUGCUAAUACCGUAUAACAACCAAAACCACCUGGUUUUGGUUUAAAAGACGGCUUCGGCUGUCACUUUAGGAUGGACCCGCGGCGUAUUAGCUUGUUGGUAAGGUAACGGCUUACCAAGGCGAUGAUACGUAGCCGACCUGAGAGGGUAAUCGGCCACAUUGGGACUGAGACACGGCCCAAACUCCUACGGGAGGCAGCAGUAGGGAAUCUUCCACAAUGGACGAAAGUCUGAUGGAGCAACGCCGCGUGAGUGAUGAAGGGUUUCGGCUCGUAAAACUCUGUUGUUGGAGAAGAACAGGUGUCAGAGUAACUGUUGACAUCUUGACGGUAUCCAACCAGAAAGCCACGGCUAACUACGUGCCAGCAGCCGCGGUAAUACGUAGGUGGCAAGCGUUGUCCGGAUUUAUUGGGCGUAAAGCGAGCGCAGGCGGUUUUUUAGGUCUGAUGUGAAAGCCUUCGGCUUAACCGGAGAAGUGCAUCGGAAACCGGGAGACUUGAGUGCAGAAGAGGACAGUGGAACUCCAUGUGUAGCGGUGAAAUGCGUAGAUAUAUGGAAGAACACCAGUGGCGAAGGCGGCUGUCUGGUCUGUAACUGACGCUGAGGCUCGAAAGCAUGGGUAGCGAACAGGAUUAGAUACCCUGGUAGUCCAUGCCGUAAACGAUGAGUGCUAAGUGUUGGAGGGUUUCCGCCCUUCAGUGCUGCAGCUAACGCAUUAAGCACUCCGCCUGGGGAGUACGACCGCAAGGUUGAAACUCAAAGGAAUUGACGGGGGCCCGCACAAGCGGUGGAGCAUGUGGUUUAAUUCGAUGCUACGCGAAGAACCUUACCAGGUCUUGACAUCUUCUGCCAACCUAAGAGAUUAGGCGUUCCCUUCGGGGACAGAAUGACAGGUGGGUGCAUGGUUGUCGUCAGCUCGUGUCGUGAAAAUGUUUGGGUUAAGUCCCGCAACGAGCGCAACCCUUAUUGUUAGUUGCCAGCAUUCAGUUGGGCACUCUAGCAAGACUGCCGGUGACAACCCGAAGGAAAGGGUGGGGGUAAACGUCAAAUCAUCAUGGCCCCUUAUAACCUGGGGUACCACCUGCUUCAAUGGAAGGGGACAACAAGUCCCGAAACCCCCAGGGCACCUAAUUCCUUAAAACCG
This 1249-nucleotide ribosomal RNA is filed under the name Lentilactobacillus buchneri. RNAcentral's name for it is "bacterial SSU rRNA". It matches the Rfam family "Bacterial small subunit ribosomal RNA", at positions 70 to 1283 of the family's 1533-position model. The record is from RNAcentral. Lineage: Bacteria; Bacillati; Bacillota; Bacilli; Lactobacillales; Lactobacillaceae.